UUAGCAGUGCUUAUUGUUCGUUUAUUUCUUCUCACCGUGUAUAUGUAUAACCAUGAAGGCAGAUGCAAGCUGUCACAAGGUCUGACACUUCUGUUUAAAAAUUUCCCUAGGCUAUCUAAUUGCACAAACUGUCAUCUAGUUAUUAUUUCCAUCAUUGAGUAGGCAUGUUUAUUUUUGAUAACUCAAUCGAGUAAUAUUGUGGCUAUGUUUCGUUAAAAUAUAAACCAAAAUUUAUCGUAGGUUUAUAAACAUCAACAGAAAUAAGAAAAAAGAAGGUUUAUGUUGUGUUAUAGUAUUCAUUUUGGAGGAAAUUUCGUGCAGAGAUGAUACUCUUAAGUGCUCCAUUUCAGUUGUGGGUGAAGACAAUCCAUUUUCAAGUGGAGACAUUACCAUUGAAAAGAAAUGAUUUGUAUCAUCCCUAAGUGGUUUUUCAUUUUUUGAAUAUAUUUUUUUAGUAGUUUCAA
Megachile rotundata (alfalfa leafcutting bee) is the source of this 464-nucleotide long non-coding RNA. NCBI's taxonomy places the organism in Eukaryota, Metazoa, Arthropoda, Insecta, Hymenoptera, Megachilidae. The record is from RefSeq and is a predicted model, not a curated record.